Molecule: ribosomal RNA, 387 nt
Filed under: uncultured bacterium
Lineage: Bacteria
Description: bacterial SSU rRNA
Rfam family: Bacterial small subunit ribosomal RNA
Source: RNAcentral
GACGAACGCUGGCGGCGUGCUUAACACAUGCAAGUCGAGCGGUAAGGCCCUUUCGGGGGUACACGAGCGGCGAACGGGUGAGUAACACGUGGGUGACCUGCCCUCAGUUCCGGGAUAAGCCUGGGAAACCGGGUCUAAUACUGGAUAUGACCUCAUGACGCAUGUUGUGGGGUGGAAAGCCUUGUGCGACUGAGGAUGGGCCCGCGGCCUAUCAGCUUGUUGGUGGGGUGAUGGCCACCAAGGCGACGACGGGUAGCCGGCCUGAGAGGGCGACCGGCCACACUGGGACUGAGACACGGCCCAGACUCCUACGGGAGGCAGCAGUGGGGAAUCUUGCGCAAUGGGCGAAAGCCUGACGCAGCGACGCCGCGUGAGGGAUGACGGCCU